RNAcentral lists this ribosomal RNA (300 nucleotides) under uncultured Haloquadratum sp. RNAcentral's name for it is "bacterial SSU rRNA". The stretch from base 60 to 300 matches the Rfam family "Bacterial small subunit ribosomal RNA", at positions 553 to 794 of the family's 1533-position model. The record is from RNAcentral. Lineage: Archaea; Methanobacteriati; Methanobacteriota; Halobacteria; Halobacteriales; Haloferacaceae.
CGGGUGAUGGAGAGGGGGGUGGCGCGGGGGUGUGUGGGGUGCGGGUGUUGGCGGGAGGGAUUGGGCGGAAGGGGUGAGUGGGGGGUGGGUAGCGUGUGAAGUGGAAUUGUGGGGCUGUAGCCUGAGGGUGCUUUGGAGACGGGGUGGCUGAAGGAAGGUAGGGGAGAAUGGAAUUCGUGGUGGAGCGGUGGAAUGCGCAGAUAGCAGGAGGAACACAAGUGGCGAAGGCGGUUCUCUGGGCCUUUCCUGACGCUGAGGAGCGAAAGCGUGGGGAGCGAACAGGAUUAGAUACCCUAUAGC